GAGCCCGCGUGGGAUUAGCUAGUUGGUGGGGUAAUGGCGUGCCAAGGGGACGAUCCAUAGCUGGUCUGAGGGAAUGAUCAGCCACACUGGGACUGAGACACGGCCCAGACUCNUACGGGAGGCAGCAGUGGGGAAUAUUGGACAAUGGGCGCAAGCCUGAUCCAGCCAUGCCGCGUGAGUGAUGAAGGCCCUAGGGUUGUAAAGCUCUUUCAACGGUGAAGAUAAUGACGGUAACCGUAGAAGAAGCCCCGGCUAACUUCGUGCCAGCAGCCGCGGUAAUACGAAGGGGGCUAGCGUUGUUCGGAAUUACUGGGCGUAAAGCGCACGUAGGCGGAUACUUAAGUCAGGGGUGAAAUCCCGGGGCUCAACCCCGGAACUGCCUUUGAUACUGGGUAUCUGGAGUCCGGAAGAGGUGAGUGGAAUUCCGAGUGUAGAGGUGAAAUUCGUAGAUAUUCGGAGGAACACCAAUGGCGAAGGGGGCUCACUGGUCCGGUACUGACGCUGAGGUGCGAAAGCGUGGGGAGCAAACAGGAUUAUAUCCCCUGGU
This 547-nucleotide ribosomal RNA is filed under the name uncultured bacterium. Its description in RNAcentral is "bacterial SSU rRNA". It matches the Rfam family "Bacterial small subunit ribosomal RNA", at positions 227 to 791 of the family's 1533-position model. The record is from RNAcentral.